CCGUUAACCCGCGGUGGUAGAGCCACCGGAUCGACGAGGGGGCUUCACCGCCUACCGACUCGAACCGAACUCCGAAUGCCGCGGGUCGAGAGGCCGGGAGUCAGAGGGCGUGGGCUAAGCUGCGCGCUCGAGAGGGAAACAGCCCAGACCGCCCGCUAAGGUCCCCAAGUCAUCGCUGAGUGGCAAAGGAUGUGCGUCUGCCCAGACAACCAGGAUGUUGGCUUAGAAGCAGCCAUGCAUUUAAAGAGUGCGUAACAGCUCACUGGUCGAGUGGACAUGCGCCGACAAUUCACGGGGCUAAGCGAUGCACCGAAGCGGCGGACUGAGAAUUCAGUGGUAGGGGAGCUCUCCGCGGGGGGCGAAGCAGCAGGGCGACCUGCUGUGGACCGCGCGGAGGUGAGAAUGCUGGCAUGAGUAACGAGACCAGGGCGAGAAACCCUGGCGCCGUGAGCCUAAGGGUUCCUGGGCGAGGCUAAUCCCCCCAGGGUCAGUCGGGAGCUAAGGCGAGGCCGAGAGGCGUAGCCGAUGCGCAGCGGGCAGACAUUCCCGCACCGCCGACGGCGCGGCAUUACCGAUGGGGCGACGGAGAAGGGUAGCCGGGCGGGGUUCUGGACGUCCCCGUGAAAGCGCGUAGGGCGCGCAGCGUGGAAACCAGCUGCGCACGAGGCCUGAGACGCGAGACGAAGCGACCGAGCGAAGCCGGUGAGCCCAUGCUUCCGAGAAAAACCUCUAGGGAGUGCCGUCGGCGCCCGUACCAAAACCGACACAGGUGGGCGGGUAGAACAUACCGAGGCGAUCGGGAGAACCACGGUUAAGGAACUCGGCAUACUGGCCCCGUAACUUCGGGAGAAGGGGCGCCGCCGCCGGUGAUAGCCCUCGCGGCAGGAGCUGGCGGCGGCCGCAGCGAAACGGCCCAAGCGACUGUUUAUCAAAAACACAGGACUCUGCAAAGCGGUAACGCGACGUAUAGGGUCUGACGCCUGCCCGGUGCCGGAAGGUUACGCGGAUGCGUCAGCCGAAAGGCGAAGCGCUGAAGCCAAGCCCCGGUAAACGGCGGCCGUAACUAUAACGGUCCUAAGGUAGCGAAAUUCCUUGUCGGGUAAGUUCCGACCUGCACGAAUGGCGUAACGAUUUGGGCGCUGUCUCAACCGUGGACCCGGUGAAAUUGUACUGUUCGUGAAGAUGCGAACUACCCGCGGAAGGACGGAAAGACCCCGUGAACCUUUACUGCAGCUUGGCAUUGGCAUCUGGUACGGCGCGUAGAGGAUAGGCGGGAGCCUUUGAAGCGGGGGCGCAAGCCCCCGUGGAGGCGACCUUGGAAUACCGCCCUCGUCGUGCCGGCUGCCUAACGCGCGGCCGUGAUCCGGCGCGCGGACCGUGCCAGGCGGGUAGUUUGACUGGGGCGGUCGCCUCCCAAAACGUAACGGAGGCGCGCGAAAGGUCCGCUCAGGACGGUCGGCAACCGUCCCGAGAGCGCAAGAGUGCAAGCGGGCUUGACUGCGAGAGAGACACCUCGAGCAGGGACGAAAGUCGGUUCUAGUGAUCCGGCGGCACAGAGUGGAAUGGCCGUCGCUCAACGGAUAAAAGGUACUCCGGGGAU
RNAcentral lists this ribosomal RNA (1600 nucleotides) under human gut metagenome. RNAcentral describes it as "bacterial LSU rRNA". It matches the Rfam family "Bacterial large subunit ribosomal RNA", at positions 886 to 2475 of the family's 2925-position model. The record is from RNAcentral.